Molecule: ribosomal RNA, 1395 nt
Filed under: metagenome
Description: bacterial SSU rRNA
Rfam family: Bacterial small subunit ribosomal RNA
Source: RNAcentral
AGAGUUUGAUCCUGGCUCAGGAAGAACGCUCGCGGCGUGCCUAACACAUGCAAGUCGGAUGGCUUACCUUUUAGGUGAGUACCAUGGCAGACGGCUGAGUAAUACGUAGGAACCAACCCCAAAGACAGAAAUAACCCAUCGAAAGGUGGGAUAAUAUCUGAUAGUCCCUCACGGGUAAAGGAGCUUGCUCCACUUUGGGACGGGCCUGCGGCCUAUCAGCUUGUUGGUGAGGUAACGGCUUACCAAGGCUUUGACGGGUAACUGGUGUGAGAGCACGACCAGUCAGAAGGGGACUGAAAACGGCCCCUAGCCCUACGGGGCGCAGCAGUGGGGAAUAUUGCGCAAUGGCCGAAAGGCUGACGCAGCGACGCCGCGUGGAGGAUGACGGCCUUCGGGUUGUAAACUCAUGUUAAAAAGCAAUGGCUAACUACGUGCCAGCAGCAGCGGUAAUACGUAGGUUGCAAGCGUUUUCCGGAUUUAUUGGGCGUAAAGAGUUUUGUAGGCGGCCUAAAAAGUUUUAAGUUAAAUCUGCGGGCUCAACCCGCAAACUGCUUAAAAUACUUUUAGGCUAGAGUCACGUAGGGGAAAGCGGAACCGAUGGAGUAGCGGUGGAAUGCGUUGAUCUCAUCGGGAACACCAAAGGCGAAGGCAGCUUUCUGGAAGUGCACUGACGCUGAGAUACGAAAGCGCGGGUAGCAAACGGGAUUAGAUACCCCGGUAGUCCGCGCCGUAAACGAUGGAUACUAGAUUCCUGCUUUUAUUAGUGGGUGUCGAAGCUAACGCGUUAAGUAUCCCGCCUGGGGAUUACGGUCGCAAGACUAAAACUCAAAGGAAUUGACGGGGAGCCGCACAAGCAGUGGAUUAUGUGGUUUAAUUCGAUGAUAACCGAAGAACCUCACCCAGGUUUGACAUUGUAGUGAAACCCUUCCGAAAGGUCGGGCCCCUUUUAGGCACUACGAACAGGUGUUGCAUGGCUGUCGUCAGUUUGUACCGUGAGGCGCCGGGUUAAGUCCCGUAACAAACGCAACCCCUAUUGCUAGUUGUAUCACUCUAGCAAAACUGCCAGUGAUAAACUGGAGGAAGGCGGGGACGACGUCAAGUCGGAAUGGCCCUUAUGCCUGGGGCUACACACAUAAUACAAUGGCCACUACAACGGGUUGCCACUAGGUAACUAGGAGCUAAUCUCUUAAAAGUGGUCUCAGUUCGGAUUGAGGGCUGCAACUCGCCCUCAUGAAGUUGGAAUUGCUAGUAAUCGCGGGUCAGCUAAACCGCGGUGAAUACGUUCUCGGCUCUUGUACACACCGCCCGUCAAGUAAAGAAAGUUGGGGGUAUCUGAACUCGCCUUUUUGGCGAGGAAGAUAAAUCCAGCAAUCGGUACUAAGUCGUAACAAGGUA